GUAAAAACUCUGACAAUAUCUAGAGCAUCACUGUUAGGAACUCAAAUUAUCAAGUUUUCUCUUCUAAUUUUUCUGYCAAAGAAAGUUCUGAUUCACCAGAUCUUUAAGGAUAGUUAUUAAGCAGAUUAUUUUUUAAGAGAUGGUAUGAAUUUCGUGUAUACUUGUGCCACUGGCUUUGUUCAUUUGGCACAAGUUUAUCCAGCCUUUAGUCGAUCGAUGGUAUGGACCGAAAAAAAUGAUCGAAGAUUCGUCGAAAAAGAAGGAAAAUGUAGGGACUGAAGAAGUGAAAGGAAGCACCAAGAACAAGAUACCCACAGCUGGUAAUGGCAUACCUUUAACAACCAAUGGGCAUGUAAAGAGUGAAUAGCACUUCUUCUCAACUAUAUCGCAGAUGACUGCCACAAUCAGACAUGAUAGUAUGAAGACUUUURGUGAAAUCCUGUGCCGACUGCGAGUGCCAAGAGUUAGAUGUCGAUGAUCAUUCUGGUUGUUUAGCAGUCAUAGGGUUCAUAUGAGAACUUAGCAUGGCAGAUUUGGGAGUGAAUUUUUAUCUACAAUUCCAUCAACCUAUUUAUUGAAUUUUUACAUAAAUGAAUGGUUUCGUAAAUGCUUCUUGAAUUACUGGCAACUCCAAUAUUUUGUUAUUGGUCAUAAAUCGAAAGAGUUAAGAAAUAUUUCUGGAAUGAAUAAUUAUAAAUCUAUGAUCUACCUGGAUAUCUGUAAAAUAUAGUUAUGUAUGACUAUAAUUGAUUGUAAUGAAAUGUAACUUCAAACCCUUCAAGUGUUAUYGAUACCCAGAAACAUAUAUUAAAAAUAAACUUGUUCAGGAAUAUAA
Long non-coding RNA from Actinia tenebrosa (Australian red waratah sea anemone), 835 nucleotides. RefSeq lists it as uncharacterized. The record is from RefSeq and is a predicted model, not a curated record. Lineage: Eukaryota; Metazoa; Cnidaria; Anthozoa; Actiniaria; Actiniidae.